GUAUUUUGAAUUAGUUUAUUCAUAAUAGUUUUCAGACAAAGUAUUUAAAAUGAGUUGAUGUAGAGCCACCCCUUUUUUCCGAAGAAAAAAGCAAGCGACAGACAUUUCACACAAGGUGGAUAUGGAUUUUUAAAAGUGCCAUAAAACACUUAUUAUGAAUGAUCCUUCCGCAGGUUCACCUACGGAAA
Molecule: unclassified non-coding RNA, 188 nt
Filed under: uncultured fungus
Lineage: Eukaryota; Fungi
Description: sequence contains ITS1
Source: RNAcentral